RNAcentral lists this ribosomal RNA (686 nucleotides) under uncultured bacterium. Its description in RNAcentral is "bacterial SSU rRNA". It matches the Rfam family "Bacterial small subunit ribosomal RNA", at positions 823 to 1509 of the family's 1533-position model. The record is from RNAcentral.
GGUGUAUGAAAAAUUUACAAUUGGGCAAGCGAAGCGAUUAGUAUUCAACUUGGAGUACGACGCAAAGGUUGAAACUUCAAAGAUGAACGGGGUCCCGCACCAAGCAGCGGAGGCAUGUGUUUAAUUUCGACGCAACGCGAAGAACCUUACCAGGUCUUGACAUCCAGUUAAAUCUGCAGAGAUGCAGGGUGUGCUUGCACAAACUGAGACAGGUGGUGCAUGGUUGUCGUCAGCUCGUGUCGUGGGAUGUUGGGUUAAGUCCCGCAACGAGCGCAACCCUUGUUACUAGUUGCCAGCACGUAAUGGUGGGAACUCUAGUGAGACUGCCGGUGACAAACCGGGGGAAGGUGGGGACGACGUCAAAUCAUCAUGCCCGUAUGUCCUGGGCUACACACAUAAUAAAAAUGGUCGUCAACAGAGGGGAGGCGAAGCCGCGAGGUGGAGCAAAUCCCCAAAAGCGAUCUCAGUUCGGAUUGUAGUCUGCAACUCGACAAUUCAUGAAGCUGGAAUCGCUAGUAAUCGCAGAUCAGAAUGCUGCGGUGAAUACGUUCCCGGGUCUUGUACACACCGCCCGUCACACCAUGGGAGUAGGUAAUACCCGAAGUCCGUGACUUAACCGUAAGGAGAGAGCGGCCGAAGGUAGGACUUAUAACUGGGGUGAAGUCGUAACAAGUGCCUAAUCUAGA